GGACUACUGGGGUAUCUAAUCCUGUUUGCUCCCCACGCUUUCGUGUCUCAGCGUCAGUAUUCGUCCAGUUGGCCGCCUUCGCCGCCGGUGUUCCUCUCGAUAUCUACGAAUUUCACCUCUACACCGAGAAUUCCACCAACCUCUCCGAUACUCAAGUCGUGCGGUUUCGGGUGCACUUCCCAGGUUGAGCCUGGGGCUUUCACAUCCGACCUACAUGACCGCCUACACACGCUUUACGCCCAGUAAUUCCGAACAACGUUUGCACCCUCUGUCUUACCGCGGCUGCUGGCAC
Molecule: ribosomal RNA, 292 nt
Filed under: uncultured bacterium
Lineage: Bacteria
Description: partial 16S ribosomal RNA
Source: RNAcentral